UACGUAGGGUGCAAGCGUUAUCCGGAAUUAUUGGGCGUAAAGAGCUCGUAGGCGGUUUGUCGCGUCUGCUGUGAAAACCCGAGGCUCAACCUCGGGCCUGCAGUGGGUACGGGCAGACUAGAGUGCGGUAGGGGAGAUUGGAAUUCCUGGUGUAGCGGUGGAAUGCGCAGAUAUCAGGAGGAACACCGAUGGCGAAGGCGGGUCUCUGGGCCGUAACUGACGCUGAGGAGCGAAAGCAUGGGGAGCGAACAGG
This 253-nucleotide ribosomal RNA is filed under the name uncultured bacterium. RNAcentral's name for it is "partial 16S ribosomal RNA". It matches the Rfam family "Bacterial small subunit ribosomal RNA", at positions 524 to 776 of the family's 1533-position model. The record is from RNAcentral.